AGAGUUUGCUUCUGGCUCAGGAUGAACGCUGGCGGCGCGCCUAACACAUGCAAGUCGAACGGCACCUAUCUUCGGAUAGAAGCGAGUGGCGAACGGCUGAGUAACACGUGGAGAACCUGCCCCCUCCCCCGGGAUAGCCGCCCGAAAGGACGGGUAAUACCGGAUACCCCGGGGUGCCGCAUGGCACCCCGGCUAAAGCCCCGACGGGAGGGGAUGGCUCCGCGGCCCAUCAGGUAGACGGCGGGGUGACGGCCCACCGUGCCGACAACGGGUAGCCGGGUUGAGAGACCGACCGGCCAGAUUGGGACUGAGACACGGCCCAGACUCCUACGGGAGGCAGCAGUGGGGAAUCUUGCGCAAUGGGGGGAACCCUGACGCAGCGACGCCGCGUGCGGGACGGAGGCCUUCGGGUCGUAAACCGCUUUCAGCAGGGAAGAGUCAAGACUGUACCUGCAGAAGAAGCCCCGGCUAACUACGUGCCAGCAGCCGCGGUAAUACGUAGGGGGCGAGCGUUAUCCGGAUUCAUUGGGCGUAAAGCGCGCGCAGGCGGCCCGGCAGGCCGGGGGUCGAAGCGGGGGGCUCAACCCCCCGAAGCCCCCGGAACCUCCGCGGCUCGGGUCCGGUAGGGGAGGGUGGAACACCCGGUGUAGCGGUGGAAUGCGCAGAUAUCGGGUGGAACACCGGUGGCGAAGGCGGCCCUCUGGGCCGAGACCGACGCUGAGGCGCGAAAGCUGGGGGAGCGAACAGGAUUAGAUACCCUGGUAGUCCCAGCCGUAA
This 777-nucleotide ribosomal RNA is filed under the name uncultured bacterium. Its description in RNAcentral is "bacterial SSU rRNA". It matches the Rfam family "Bacterial small subunit ribosomal RNA", at positions 8 to 805 of the family's 1533-position model. The record is from RNAcentral.